Molecule: ribosomal RNA, 253 nt
Filed under: uncultured bacterium
Lineage: Bacteria
Description: partial 16S ribosomal RNA
Rfam family: Bacterial small subunit ribosomal RNA
Source: RNAcentral
UACAGAGACCUCAAGCGUUAUCCGGAUUUAUUGGGCGUAAAGCGUCCGCAGGUUGUUUGGCCAGUCAGGGGUCAAAACCCAAAGCUUAACUUUGGGGCCGCCUUUGAUACUACCAAACUAGAGAUCGGAAGAGGUAAGCGGAAUUCUCGGUGUAGUCGUAAUAAGCGUUGAUAUCGAGAAGAACACCAAAUGCGAAGGCAGCUUACUAUGGUAUGAUUGACGCUGAGGCACGAAAGCGUGGGGAUCAAACAGG